AGGAGAUUGUGUAUCAUCUAUUCAUUGUAUUUCUAUUCAUUGUAUUUCUAUUCAUUGUAUUUCUAUCUUCAACAUGCAAUACCAGAUUACAGCCCUGCCAUUAUUUGAAGGCAGCCAAUCCAAUAGUUUCUGAGAUCGGUAUUCAAAAAGUUUAGAAAAAGUAGUACUUUUUUUUGGGGGGGGGGGGGGACACCUGCAUUCAAAUCGUUUUUUUGUCACCUUUAAAGUAACUAUUUGCUGCACCGAGAAGAAAAAAAAGAAGUUGACUUUCCAGACAGUUAAAAGAAUAGUUCUCCCGGUGUCUGUGGUAGGGCGUGUUCUCUGAAGCACAGAGGACAUCUGGUGAUGUGCUGUUGGUGAGGAGGUGCAAAACACAAAAUGGCGAAUGGAAGAGGACGGAAACCACCUAAAAAGAAUCUCAUCAUCAUCAGAGGUUUGCCCGGAGUUGGAAAGAAGAGCCAUGCAAGGAAGAAGAAACUGAGGAAAAACGUAAAGAACAUUUCCAGUAACUUUAUUGAGGAAUAGCAACUUUGCCUAACUUUCUUCAAAGCUCCUUGAUGAAUAUGGAAGACCAGACGUGGCUGGAGGGAUAUACUCUGCUUCCAACUACCAUGCUAUGUUCAACUGGAACAAGUUCCACUUCCCACGUAACCAUCAGUGGAAUAGACGGGAUGUUUUUAGAGCCAUGAAGGAAGGUGUGGAUCCGAUCAUCGUUUACAACAUCCACUGUUUACUUUCUGACAUGUGGCCCUAUGUCUACAUGGGGAUGAGUUGGCGUGACUACCACAUCACUAUAAUAGAGCUGCCUGAAGGUUGUCCUAAAAACGCUUUGUCCAUCAACCAGCUGUACAGGUAAGAGACAACCACUUCGUAGACAUUCUACAUUCUAUAUUCAGAAACUGUCGUGGUAAGAUCCCCAAGCAUAAGUUCAGGUACUGGGAGAAUUACUGGGAAGAAGCUGACGACAUCUGGGAUGUACUUGACGACGGCUCCUCCAUAGACCGCUGGCAGUAUGAAAGAGAGGAAUGGAUCCUCUAGUGAAGACACACCAGUACCUCCAUUUUGUGUGAACUACUGUUUUUAAUAUUUUUUUUUUUAGCUUUUUUCAAAACUACACUUUUAAAGAGUAUUGGUUACCUAGCAACCCCUAGAACCCAACAACAACUCAUACCUUACUGUUGUACUUGUCUUUCUUGCACUGACGCCUGUUUUGGUUGUGUCUGAGGCAUUUUUGGUAUAUCAUAUCGUUGAUCGUUGUUUUGGCACCACUCGAGUUAGAAGUUCAGAACGAGAAACUGUAAGCUAUAUAUAUAUAUAUAUAUAUUUAUAGAAGUAAUGGUCCU
RNAcentral lists this long non-coding RNA (1343 nucleotides) under Salmo salar (Atlantic salmon). RNAcentral's name for it is "lncRNA (ENSSSAG00000097366.1)". Lineage: Eukaryota; Metazoa; Chordata; Actinopteri; Salmoniformes; Salmonidae. The record is from RNAcentral.